Molecule: transfer RNA, 67 nt
Filed under: Echinostoma caproni
Lineage: Eukaryota; Metazoa; Platyhelminthes; Trematoda; Plagiorchiida; Echinostomatidae
Rfam family: tRNA
About the family: Transfer RNA (tRNA) molecules are approximately 80 nucleotides in length.
Source: Rfam by way of RNAcentral
GACCUCGUUGCUCAGUGGAUGCAGCGUAGGAAGUGUCCAUGUGUGGGUUCGAAUCCCAUCGAGGUUA